RNAcentral lists this ribosomal RNA (440 nucleotides) under Duganella zoogloeoides. Its description in RNAcentral is "bacterial SSU rRNA". It matches the Rfam family "Bacterial small subunit ribosomal RNA", at positions 64 to 507 of the family's 1533-position model. The record is from RNAcentral. Lineage: Bacteria; Pseudomonadati; Pseudomonadota; Betaproteobacteria; Burkholderiales; Oxalobacteraceae.
GAACGGCAGCGCGGGGCAACCUGGCGGCGAGUGGCGAACGGGUGAGUAAUAUAUCGGAACGUACCCUGGAGUGGGGGAUAACGUAGCGAAAGUUACGCUAAUACCGCAUACGAUCUAAGGAUGAAAGUGGGGGAUCGCAAGACCUCAUGCUCCUGGAGCGGCCGAUAUCUGAUUAGCUAGUUGGUUAGGGUAAAAGCCUACCAAGGUAUCGAUCAGUAGCUGGUCUGAGAGGACGACCAGCCACACUGGAACUGAGACACGGUCCAGACUCCUACGGGAGGCAGCAGUGGGGAAUUUUGGACAAUGGGCGCAAGCCUGAUCCAGCAAUGCCGCGUGAGUGAAGAAGGCCUUCGGGUUGUAAAGCUCUUUUGUCAGGGAAGAAACGGUGAGGGCUAAUAUUCCUUUGCUAAUGACGGUACCUGAAGAACCAAGUUUGCGUG